UGUUUCAUUUGACAGAAUUUGCAAAUUACAUUUUUCCCCCUCAGAAUAACUCACAGUGUGGAAAUGCUUCCAUAUGCUACAAGUUGUUCUCAUCAUUUGCUGAAGGGAAAACAAAAAGAAGAGAACCGUAGUUGAGUUUGUGACUUGCAGAAAGCAUCCAGCUAUAGCAAGUUCACACUUAGCGGUGGCCUUUCGUGGAUCCAGCGCCAGCCACUGGUGCCUCACUCCCUGCCAAAGCCUGCAGUCAUCACGACAAGAAUGUAGCAGCUUCCAGGUCCUGAGUGAACAAAAACCUCAAGUAAAUGAAAACGUGUCUCCUUCCUUUCAUGUCGGAAAAUGGCCAUGGUCCUUUGAGGCAAAGGUACGCAGAAGGGCAUGGCUACAAAGAGGCAAAGACACACAUUCUGGAAGCGUCAGCUGAGAUGACCCGAGAAACUAGACACCUGCUGACAGACGGGGAUCAUGAGCCCUUCAGUGAGAUACAUUUUACAAUGAAAACCUUUCGCAUCACAGUGGAAGGAAACUGAUCCCCUGAACGAUACCUGAGUAUUACAAUUACCAUCAAAAGGUAUGAAGACUUUUUGGUGGGGGGAACAAAGCAAUCAGCAACUUCUGCUGUUGCUUGGGCAGAGGAGUGUUACAGGAUUUUUCUGUCGCUUCAAGAGAGACAGAAAAACUCUGGAAUUAAAGUGGUGAUCAUUCUGUACCCUGCACAUCACAGUAGUGCUAUUGGCUGGUGAUAAGAGCAAAUAUACCUGGAAUUGCUUCUGAGUAUUAGAAAGAACUUGGCUCCUUGAGACCAGUGACUCCAUCCUGGGUUGUGACCAAGCAGUUGAGGAGAGAGCUAACUGGCCUACAAUAAU
Molecule: long non-coding RNA, 863 nt
Filed under: Callithrix jacchus (white-tufted-ear marmoset)
Lineage: Eukaryota; Metazoa; Chordata; Mammalia; Primates; Cebidae
Description: lncRNA (ENSCJAG00000070776.1)
Source: RNAcentral